Bos taurus (domestic cattle) is the source of this 2276-nucleotide long non-coding RNA. NCBI's taxonomy places the organism in Eukaryota, Metazoa, Chordata, Mammalia, Artiodactyla, Bovidae. The record is from Ensembl.
UAGCUCCACCUAACUGUACUCUAAGAAAGUUAAACUUGGUAUCCAAAGCCAAUCUCAACAUUUAUCUCCUCAUACAAGUUCCUCCUUAGGUUUUUCUUCUUUUAAAAACAAAACAAAAUAAACAGGUAAAAUACACACAUUCCCAUUUUACCAGUCAUCCAGGCUCUUAAUCAUAGUAGUUUCAAUUUUUCUAUCUGCUCCCGUUCUUUCUCUUCCCCUCACCCUGCAUGCAUGUGCACAAGUUGCUUCAUUCAUGUCCGACUCUUUGGGACCCUAUGGGCUGUAACCUGCCAGGUUCCUCUCUCCAUGGGAUUCUCCAGGCAAGAAUACUGGAUUAGGUUUCCAUACCCACCCAGGAAUCGAACCCAUGUCUUCUGCAGCUACUGCAUUGCAGGCAGAUUCUUUACCACUGAGCCAUCAGGGAAGCCCACCCCUCACCCUACUCUAUCUAAUUAGAAACCAAGUUCUACAGAUUCUACCACAUAUCACAGUUCAGUUGCUCAGUCGUGUCCAACUCGUUGUGACCCCAUGGACUGCAGCACGCCAGGCUUCCCUGUCCAUCACCAACUCCCAGAGCUUACGAAAACUCAUGUCCAUCAAGUCCGUGAUGCCACAUAUCAUAGGCUUUGCUGAAAUCUGACACUUCUCCCACUACGAAUGUCAUCAUGAUGGUCUAAGCCAUCAACCACUUCUGAUCUACACCAGUAUUUCUCAAAUGUUUCUACAAAAUACCUCUAACAGCAAAAAAAUAUAUAAGUGGUGGGGAGGAGGGUACCUUUAGGGAACGUAACUCUUAGCAGCUUUUAAAUCUUUCUCUACCCACUUUGGAGAAAUUUAUUGGUAGACUCCUAUUAUUUUGGUUUGUUUUAAAACUUUUGGCUGCAAUUCAUAGCAUGUGGAACCCUAGUUCUCCAACCAGGGAUCAAACCCAUGCCUCCUGCAUUGGAAGGUGGAGUCUUAACCACUGGACUUCCACGGAAGUACCCUGUUAUCUUGAAAAAAUUAGGCAGAUUUUGCAAAAUCCAUCUAUUUUUGCUUUAACAUUAUAGGAAGCUUCUAGUUAGUUGCCAGUGAGCCAUAUUGAUGCCUUGAGUACAUUCUCUACAUUUAAUGGGGACUUUAUAUAGGGUACCUGUUUCCUGGUUUGAAAAGAAUCCCUAUGGACCCCACCUAGUCUCUCUGGCCUCUGUCUGUCCACGGGCAUGCACCAUUUUACUUCAUCACUGCCUAAAACGCAUUCCAAUAGCUUCUAGUAGUGCCAUAUGGCUACCAAAUUAAGUAUAUAUGGCUUUUUUGAUUCAAAACCCUCCAAAAAUGAUCAUUCCAAUCUUAUUUCUGAUACUAAGUUACUUUUUUUUGCAAGCUGAAAUGCUUUGAUUACUAUGUUCUCAAUAUUUAACUGAAUCUGGUUACUGGGAAGUCGCUUACUUUCCAGUCAUCUAGCUAGCACUGCUGCUGUUGUUGCUAAGUCGCUUCAGUUGAGUCCGACUCUGCGCGACCCCAAAGACGGCAGCCCACCAGGCUCCUCCAUCCAUGGGAUUCUCCAGGCAAGAACACUGGAGUGGGUUGCCAUUUCCUUCUCCAAUGCAUGAAAGUGAAAAGUGAAAGUGAAGUCGCUCAGUCAUGUCUGACUCUUCUCGACCCCAUGGACUGCAGCCUACCAGGCUCCUCCACCCAUGGGAUUUUCCAGGCAACAGUACUGGAGUGGGUUGCCAUUGCCUUCUCCGCUAGCUAGCACAGUAGUUCUCAAAAUGUGUUCACUAGACCAACAGUAUCAGUAUCACCUGGGAACUUGCUAGAAAUGCAUAUUUUAUGUCCUGUGUUAUUUCUCAGACCUGCUGAACCAAAAACUCUGGCUGAGCAAUUUGUACCCUAACAAGUCCUCUGCUGUGAUUCUGAUGCAGCUGAAGUUUGAGGGGCACUGGUCUAGGGUUUAGUUUUUUAAUUUAAGACAGAGUAAGACGAUGUCCUUGGUGGCCCAAUGGAUAAGAAUCUGCCUGCCAAUGCAGGGAACACUAGUUCGAUCCCUGGUCCAGGAAGAUUCCACAUGCUGCUGAGCAACUAAACCUGUGCACCACAGCUACUGAGCCUGUGUCCUAGAGCCUGUGAGGCUCAGCUACUGUGCCUGCAUGCUGCAACCACUGAGGCCUAUGUGCCUAGAGUUUGUGUUCCGCAACAAGAGAAGCCAUCACAAUGAGAAGCCCAUGCACCUCAACUAGAGAGCCCUUGCACAGCAAUGAAGCCUCAGUGCAACCAAAAAUAAAUACAUUGACUUA